AUGAGUCCAAGGACAGCAUCCUGCAUGAACAGCAUGCAUGUCAUCUUAAAUAGGCCUCAACUAGGAGACCCUGCAGGCAACCAAGGGAAUGACUGCUGUGGAGACCCAAGUCAGAAGGCUGUCAAAGGGCAGCCUCAGCCAGAGCGGAGGAGAAACACACCAGACAACCGAGCAAAAGCAGGCCUUUCACAAGCAGUGGUAACAGUGGCGGUCACUCAUAAUGGAGUGCCAAAAGGGAUGCAGAAAGAGGCAAACAAGAGGACAAAGGGCCAGAUGCCAGAGCCAACACUUUCCAAAGAAUUAGCCACACUGGAAAAGGCUUUUAAUUCAGCCGCCUUAUUCGUAUGCAAGAAGUCUAUUCCCAUUUUUAGGACAGUGGCUUGUUUUCCAUGA
This 393-nucleotide long non-coding RNA is filed under the name Capra hircus (goat). RNAcentral's name for it is "lncRNA (ENSCHIG00010021334.1)". The record is from RNAcentral. Lineage: Eukaryota; Metazoa; Chordata; Mammalia; Artiodactyla; Bovidae.